RNAcentral lists this unclassified non-coding RNA (260 nucleotides) under uncultured fungus. RNAcentral describes it as "partial contains 5.8S ribosomal RNA, internal transcribed spacer 2, and large subunit ribosomal RNA". The stretch from base 1 to 52 matches the Rfam family "5.8S ribosomal RNA", at positions 103 to 154 of the family's 154-position model. The record is from RNAcentral. Lineage: Eukaryota; Fungi.
AACGCACCUUGCACCCUCUGGUAUUCCGGAGGGUAUGCCUGUCUGAGUGUCAUGUCAAUCAUCAUCCCGCCGGGUCCUGCCCGGUGGGGUUGGAAUUGGGCGCUGCCGUCUGGCUCGCCUCAAAUGCAUUGGUGGCUAACCGGCCCUUGCUACGGCGUAAUACGUUUCGUCGUGUCUAGAGUCGGUGACCUCCUUGAAACCGCCUCUCACGAGGAUGUACGAUUGACCUCAGAUCAGGUAGGACUACCCGCUGAACUUAA